This 293-nucleotide long non-coding RNA is filed under the name Mus pahari (shrew mouse). RNAcentral's name for it is "lncRNA (MGP_PahariEiJ_G0003855.1)". The record is from RNAcentral. Lineage: Eukaryota; Metazoa; Chordata; Mammalia; Rodentia; Muridae.
AGGAGAUCAGAAGGGAGCACACAUCUCUGGAGGUGGAGACUUUGUGAAUUAGGAAGGAUGGGGUAGUGGGCAGAGACCUCAUAUGUUUCUCCGAAGCAGAGCACCCUGCCUGUCCCUGUCCCUGUCCUAAGACAGUACUCACGACCUGUCAGCUAUUAGCCUCAGUGCAUGCAGUUUAUAACCGAGAGAGAAAUUUAACAGAAAAGGUACCUAAGAAGAUAAUUCACCCAGAUGAUGUUCUUCUCAUUCGCAUUCUUCGCAUUAAUAGCGAUGGUGGCGCUAGACUGUAUCCA